AAGUCGUAACAAGGUUUCCGUAGGUGAACCUGCGGAAGGAUCAUUACCGAUUUUAGCGGACCUGAUCUUUGAUCAUGGUCUCGCGAAAACUUGUAUUUAAAACCCCACUCUUAUAAAUUGAAUCAUUUUAUAUGUAUAUAAUAAAUAAAGAUCACUUUCAACAACGGAUCUCUUGGCUCUC
This 181-nucleotide unclassified non-coding RNA is filed under the name Rhizophagus irregularis. RNAcentral's name for it is "partial internal transcribed spacer region". The stretch from base 1 to 46 matches the Rfam family "Eukaryotic small subunit ribosomal RNA", at positions 1786 to 1831 of the family's 1831-position model. The record is from RNAcentral. RNAcentral also lists the same sequence under 2 other names. Lineage: Eukaryota; Fungi; Glomeromycota; Glomeromycetes; Glomerales; Glomeraceae.